UACGUAGGGUGCGAGCGUUGUCCGGAAUUAUUGGGCGUAAAGGGCUCGUAGGCGGUUUGUCGCGUCGGGAGUGAAAUCCACUGGCUUAACUGGUGGCUUGCUUUCGAUACGGGCAGACUAGAGGUAUGCAGGGGGAGAACGGAAUUCCUGGUGUAGCGGUGAAAUGCGCAGAUAUCAGGAGGAACACCGGUGGCGAAGGCGGUUCUCUGGGCAUGUCCUGACGCUGAGGAGCGAAAGUGUGGGGAGCGAACAGG
Molecule: ribosomal RNA, 254 nt
Filed under: uncultured bacterium
Lineage: Bacteria
Description: partial 16S ribosomal RNA
Rfam family: Bacterial small subunit ribosomal RNA
Source: RNAcentral